Molecule: ribosomal RNA, 514 nt
Filed under: Salmonella enterica subsp. enterica serovar Senftenberg
Lineage: Bacteria; Pseudomonadati; Pseudomonadota; Gammaproteobacteria; Enterobacterales; Enterobacteriaceae
Description: partial 23S ribosomal RNA
Rfam family: Bacterial large subunit ribosomal RNA
Source: RNAcentral
UGAAACAUCUAAGUACCCGUAGGAAAGGACAUCAACCGAGACUCCGGAAGUAGUGGCGAGCGAACCCGGACCAGGCCAGUGAUCUUGGCGAGACAAGCAGAACCAUCUGGAAAGUUGGGCGAUAUGGGUGACAGCCCCGUAUGCGUAAUGCGAACCAAGAUCCUUGAGUAAGGCGGGACACGUGAAAUCCUGUCUGAAAUUCGGAGGACCACCUUCGAAGCCUAAGUACUCGUGCAUGACCGAUAGCGAACUAGUACCGUGAGGGAAAGGUGAAAAGCACCCCAACGAGGGGAGUGAAAAAGUACCUGAAACUGGUUGCCUACAAACAGAUGGAGCCUGAAAGGGUGACAUCGUACCUUUUGUAUAAUGGGUCAGCGACUUAGUGUAUCGAGCAAGCUUAAGCCGGUAGGUGUAGGCGCAGCGAAAGCGAGUCUGAACAGGGCGUUCAGUUCGAUGCAUUAGACCCGAAACCGAGUGAUCUAGCCAUGAGCAGGUUGAAGGUGAGGUAACACUC